UGGGGAAUAUUGGGCAAUGGGCGAAAGCCUGACCCAGCAACGCCGCGUGAAGGAUGAAGUAUUUCGGUAUGUAAACUUCGAAAGAAUAGGAAGAAUAAAUGACGGUACUAUUUAUAAGGUCCGGCUAACUACGUGCCAGCAGCCGCGGUAAUACGUAGGGACCAAGCGUUGUUCGGAUUUACUGGGCGUAAAGGGCGCGUAGGCGGCAAUUCAAGUCAUCUGUGAAAUCUCCGGGCUUAACUCGGAACGGUCAGAUGAUACUGCUUUGCUAGAGUGCAGAAGGGGCAAUCGGAAUUCUUGGUGUAGCGGUGAAAUGCGUAGAUAUCAAGAGGAACACCUGAGGCGAAGGCGAGUUGCUAGGCUGACACUGACGCUGAGGUACGAAAGCUAGGGGAGCGAACGGGAUUAGAUACCUAAGUAGUCCCUGAGCGGGCUGGCAAGGCGCAU
Molecule: ribosomal RNA, 447 nt
Filed under: uncultured bacterium
Lineage: Bacteria
Description: bacterial SSU rRNA
Rfam family: Bacterial small subunit ribosomal RNA
Source: RNAcentral